GAUGAACGCUGGCGGCGUGCCUAAUACAUGCAAGUCGAGCGAACAGACGAGGAGCUUGCUCCUCUGACGUUAGCGGCGGACGGGUGAGUAACACGUGGAUAACCUACCUAUAAGACUGGGAUAACUUCGGGACACCGGAGCUAAUACCGGAUAAUAUAUUGAACCGCAUGGUUCAAUAGUGAAAGACGGUUUUGCUGUCACUUAUAGAUGGAUCCGCGCCGCAUUAGCUAGUUGGUAAGGUAACGGCUUACCAAGGCAACGAUGCGUAGCCGACCUGAGAGGGUGAUCGGCCACACUGGAACUGAGACACGGUCCAGACUCCUACGGGAGGCAGCAGUAGGGAAUCUUCCGCAAUGGGCGAAAGCCUGACGGAGCAACGCCGCGUGAGUGAUGAAGGUCUUCGGAUCGUAAAACUCUGUUAUUAGGGAAGAACAAAUGUGGAAGUAACUAUGCACGUCUUGACGGUACCUAAUCAGAAAGCCACGGCUAACUACGUG
Molecule: ribosomal RNA, 497 nt
Filed under: uncultured bacterium
Lineage: Bacteria
Description: partial 16S ribosomal RNA
Rfam family: Bacterial small subunit ribosomal RNA
Source: RNAcentral